Long non-coding RNA from Osmerus eperlanus (European smelt), 318 nucleotides. RefSeq lists it as uncharacterized. The transcript has 3 exons. NCBI's taxonomy places the organism in Eukaryota, Metazoa, Chordata, Actinopteri, Osmeriformes, Osmeridae. The record is from RefSeq and is a predicted model, not a curated record.
UUAAAGAGUACAACAAAACCAAAGGCCUUUCUGAUCAAACAAGAAAGAAACUUGUUAACAUCUUGGUGGCGGAUAUGAUCGAGAGUCAUGGGAGGGUCCCAACAGUCAAUGUCCGCAUUACCUAUGCCAUGGGAAUAGUCACCCUUUUCCCCUAUUUGAAGGAUAAGGCUUCACCAACUGGUUAUGAACAUUACUAUGAUCCUCACAGUGGCCAGGGUUACCUGGCCUACAGAUUGAAGACGGUUCAGCGCAAAAGUUAGUGUCUACAAGAGGAGCUCCAAGUCUGUUUAUCAAGAUGGCCCUAAGACCUUGCGCGAG